RNAcentral lists this ribosomal RNA (403 nucleotides) under Verrucomicrobiota bacterium. RNAcentral's name for it is "Verrucomicrobia bacterium partial 16S ribosomal RNA". It matches the Rfam family "Bacterial small subunit ribosomal RNA", at positions 355 to 776 of the family's 1533-position model. Lineage: Bacteria; Pseudomonadati; Verrucomicrobiota. The record is from RNAcentral.
UGGGGAAUAUUGCACAAUGGAGGUAACUCUGAUGCAGCGACGCCGCGUGAACGAAGAAGGCUUUCGAGUCGUAAAGUUCUUUUAUAGGGGAAGAUAAUGACGGUACCAUAAGAAAAAGCCCCGGCUAACUACGUGCCAGCAGCCGCGGUAAUACGUAGGGUGCUAGCGGUGUCCGGAAUCACUGGGCGUAAAGGGUUCGCAGGCGGAAAUGCAAGUCAGGUGUAAAAGGCAGUAGCUUAACUACUGUAAGCAUUUGAAACUGCAUAUCUUGAGAAGAGUAGAGGGAAGUGGAAUUUUUAGUGUAGCGGUGAAAUGCGUAGAUAUUAAAAAGAAUACCGGUGGCGAAGGCGACUUACUGGGCUCAUUCUGACGCUGAGGAACGAAAGCGUGGGUAGCAAACAGG